GAUGAACGCUGGCGGCGUGCCUAAUACAUGCAAGUCGAGCGAACGGACGAGAAGCUUGCUUCUCUGAUGUUAGCGGCGGACGGGUGAGUAACACGUGGCUAACCUACCUAUAAGACUGGGAUAACUUCGGGAAACCGGAGCUAAUACCGGAUGAUAUUUUGAACCGCAUGGUUCAAAAGUGAAAGACGGUCUUGCUGUCACUUAUAGAUGGAUCCGCGCUGCAUUAGCUAGUUGGUAAGGUAACGGCUUACCAAGGCAACGAUGCAUAGCCGACCUGAGAGGGUGAUCGGCCACACUGGAACUGAGACACGGUCCAGACUCCUACGGGAGGCAGCAGUAGGGAAUCUUCCGCAAUGGGCGAAAGCCUGACGGAGCAACGCCGCGUGAGUGAUGAAGGUCUUCGGAUCGUAAAACUCUGUUAGUAGGGAAGAACAUAUGUGUAAGUAACUGUGCACAUCUUGACGGUACCUAAUCAGAAAGCCACGGCUAACUACGUG
RNAcentral lists this ribosomal RNA (497 nucleotides) under uncultured bacterium. Its description in RNAcentral is "partial 16S ribosomal RNA". It matches the Rfam family "Bacterial small subunit ribosomal RNA", at positions 28 to 507 of the family's 1533-position model. The record is from RNAcentral.